GUGAGUGGGCGUCGCGGGCCAGUAUUUAGGCGAAUCUGGGUGGCGUAGGUUUGGGUUGGGGGCUGCAGGCUUUGAAACGGUUUUAGAGAUUUGAGGUUAACGUUGCUGUGUGUUGAAAGCCUGCACGUCGGAAACACGCAGCCCGACCGCCACGUGCCCUGAGUCCGGAUGGGGGCAGCCUUCGAGCCGAGGCUGCUGCUGAUGGCGCGGAAGCUGUGCGCGGCCUGGGUACCGAGCCCGCGCAGCCGACCGGCUGAGCCUGAGCGGCGGCGGCGGGAAAACAACUACAUUUCCAGGAUUUGGGGCGGGAAGUUACUUUUACAUUAACAGCAAGAGGCUUUUAUUACUGAACCGAGUCUUUCUCCCGUCGCCGGAUCGAAUGUUUAUUUCCGUUGAUCCACCGCAGGAACGAUGGCUUUCAGUGUAACGGAACUGUUACCUGGAGAUGCUAAGAUGCAAAGAAAAAUUUCAAAACAUAGGAGAGAACAUUUGCUGGAAAAUUACUUAGCUAAAACCUGACAAUCUUACCAGCAUCCUGGGGCUUGAUGAAUACUAAUGAAGCUGUGGACCUCAUUGACUAGCAGCUUUAUUAUGAAUGAGGGGUCGCUGUCAGCGCAAUGAAAGAGGCCAGUUUGCUGGGAAGUUCCUCAAGUGUAACCGUUUCUGGCUAGUGCCAUGAGAUUUACUUGACCUAUGAAAAACUGGUGAUCAGGAAAAGCGCUUCGUUUUACAGACAUGGAAAGAAAACAUACAAAGCAAGACGGAUUAUAUUGGGUUUUAAUUUUUUAAAUAGAUUCUGGACCAACAUAAGAUUCGAGGCAUUUCUAAUUAUUCAUGUAACACCCUCCAAGAGUCAAAACCUGUUAACCAGUAGGUUACUUCCCAGAUCUUUCUACUUUGUAAGUACAGGCAUACAUGUGAUACUAGAUAUUUCUGAUACAAAAUUCUUUUUCAGUUAACCAGCCUUGUAAUCAAAUUUUUCUGAAUGGAUGUUUUGCCUUUGGCCCCGUUUGAAUAUAAAAUGCAUAAUUGUAAUUAAAGCUGAGUGAAAGUUUAUACUGACUCUUGUGGGGAAAUCCUCGGUAAGGUUUUUAUGGAGAGAACUGUUUGGCAAUCACAAGAAUGAGGAGAGGUGGGAAACCUUGGCUUUGUAUUAAGUAUUGUCAAAAUUAAUGUUGGUGGAAGAAAAAUGUCAGGCAUCAAGGUAAUCAACCUGAUUAUUAAUUAAAUCCUGGAAUGUUUAGUCCUAAUGUAAUUUCAAAGGUUAUUGAAGGUAAAAAAAAAAAUGGGGAGUAAUACUUGGAAUAAAGGAAGAAAGCACAGCAUAACAAGGGUCAGGAGGGGAGGUUAUUGAUAAAUAAUCUGGGUUAAAACUAGUCAAACAUUACACAGUAUGGAUUUAGGGUAAACAGUAAUAGCAUCUGAUCUAACUCAGGUAGUUGGGCCUCAUGCAUGAUCAUUUUCCGUAAAUAGCUACAUGAAUAAGUUGUUCCCAGGCCCGUAUUUAAAUGUCACUCAAAAGCUAAUAUUUUUGUUGUCUUAUAAUGAACUGUCAUCUUUUUCCUAAAGUGUCUUGUUUUCCUCUCUUAGUGUAAAGAAUUCAGAUUUGGACGCAUAUGCAGUUCAAGAGAGGCUGGGGAGACUGACAAACCUGUAGUUGACUGGCCAGACACAUUAGUCUAUUUUCCCCCAAGUGUUAGGACCACGUACAAAGUGGGUCUCUAGAAAAAUUUCUCAUGGCCAUAGCAAAAUACAAAGUAUUCAUACCACCACAUAGAGAUGAAGCACUUAGUAUUUUGGGUACCUGCACAUAGGAAAAAAAAACAACAGGUCCAAGGAAUUCCACAGUGACCAUACAUGGUUAAGGAUGGUUCCAGGAAGAUGAACCUCAGCAGCAACUUUGUAGGAAAUUAAAGGGGCCUCAAAGCUUCGAGAAAUCUAGCAAUGGGAAAAGUAGUUUGGCAUAACGGUUUCCAUGUAAUUGUAUCUUGAUAUUGCCAAAAGGAAUGAGGAAAGCUGUGGGGACUUAGACAUCUUUUAGAAAUGAAAAGCACCUUCAGGCAAGAUACUGUAUGUAAAAUGCAGCAAUUGACAAAAUCAAAC
This 2103-nucleotide long non-coding RNA is filed under the name Equus caballus (horse). Its description in RNAcentral is "lncRNA (ENSECAG00000044883.1)". The record is from RNAcentral. Lineage: Eukaryota; Metazoa; Chordata; Mammalia; Perissodactyla; Equidae.